GUGAUAAUCAACAUGAGAUUUGAUAUAUAUUUUUUUUUCUUUUCCGACGAUGAUGCUGAUAAGCGAGGUGGUGCUGGUGCGGCACGUCACCGGCGUCGGAGGUGAUAGUGGUGGAUGGUUGGGUUCGGGCACAGAAAACUGGUUCAACAGGUCAGAUGUCAGCUUCGGGUUAAGCCCGGUUAAUACCAGUCAACGACUUCGGAUUCGGGUUCGCGACUCAGUUUGGGUUCGGGUCAGACACACGACUCCAUCAAAGCCGGUCAAACGUGGUCAAGCAUUCAACGGGUCAGUUUUGGGGUUCACACAGUUCAGAUUUCGGGUUUAGUUCAUGUUCGACAAGAACGGUUCAGGAUUCAAGUCAGAUUUUGUUGGGUUUUUGGCUCGGUUUCGGGUCACGGUCAAAGUCAGUCAACUGGUCAACUUCAGUAAACAAAAAUCAACGGUCAAACUGUCGGUCAACAGCAGUCAACGUCGGU
Molecule: long non-coding RNA, 476 nt
Organism: Helianthus annuus (common sunflower)
Lineage: Eukaryota; Viridiplantae; Streptophyta; Magnoliopsida; Asterales; Asteraceae
Exons: 2
Source: RefSeq, a predicted model, not a curated record